GGGUCAGGCUGGGGCCCAGAGGCCCAGGGCCUGUAACAGGAUCUUCUGCCACCUGCCCCUGACACCAGCCGAGUUCAUGUUUGGUAGCAACUCAGCGCUGUUUGCUGCCUGACAACUGGGCAAGACACAGCCCCAGGAAGAUGCGAGGUCUCACCUACUCUGCCCUGAGCCCAGCGCUGCACCUAGGACCUGCAGACAAUCCUCCUGGCACCCCGACCCUCCCAGAGAACAGGCCUCCUGGGAGAUGGUGGGAACAAGAACUGACAUCUCAAUUUCAUCCAAAUGUCCCAAGUGAAUCCCCCAUCCCUCAUCCUGGUGAGGAUGUGCCCCACGCUGAGAGAGGAG
Molecule: long non-coding RNA, 345 nt
Filed under: Homo sapiens (human)
Lineage: Eukaryota; Metazoa; Chordata; Mammalia; Primates; Hominidae
Description: LHRI_LNC451.1
Source: RNAcentral